GACGAACGCUGGCGGCGUGCCUAAUACAUGCAAGUAGAACGCUGAAGCUUGGUGCUUGCACCGAGCGGAUGAGUUGCGAACGGGUGAGUAACGCGUAGGUAACCUGCCUGGUAGCGGGGGAUAACUAUUGGAAACGAUAGCUAAUACCGCAUAAUAGUAGAUGUUGCAUGACAUUUGCUUAAAAGGUGCAAUUGCAUCACUACCAGAUGGACCUGCGUUGUAUUAGCUAGUUGGUGAGGUAACGGCUCACCAAGGCAACGAUACAUAGCCGACCUGAGAGGGUGAUCGGCCACACUGGGACUGAGACACGGCCCAGACUCCUACGGGAGGCAGCAGUAGGGAAUCUUCGGCAAUGGACGGAAGUCUGACCGAGCAACGCCGCGUGAGUGAAGAAGGUUUUCGGAUCGUAAAGCUCUGUUGUAAGAGAAGAACGAGUGUGAGAGUGGAAAGUUCACACUGUGACGGUAUCUUACCAGAAAGGGACGGCUAACUACGU
Molecule: ribosomal RNA, 496 nt
Filed under: uncultured bacterium
Lineage: Bacteria
Description: partial 16S ribosomal RNA
Rfam family: Bacterial small subunit ribosomal RNA
Source: RNAcentral